Long non-coding RNA from Chelonia mydas (Green sea turtle), 8179 nucleotides. RefSeq lists it as uncharacterized. The transcript has 3 exons. The record is from RefSeq and is a predicted model, not a curated record. NCBI's taxonomy places the organism in Eukaryota, Metazoa, Chordata, Testudines, Cheloniidae.
CGGGCAGCGGGGUGGUGUGGGACCAGCCCAGGGAGCGAUGUCUAGCCAGUUCGUGCUCGGGCGCCCAGGGAGGGCCAGCCCGGUGCAAAGGGUGUGCAUGGGGGAGCCGGGCCUAAUCCCUGCUGCCGGGCUGGGCUCUCUCCAGCCACCCUGUCUGUCCUGGUGUAGCUGCAAGUAUUUGACUUCUGUCAUCUUUACCAGAAUACCAGCUUUACGGAAACUGAACGCACCACACACUCUGGUGUAACUCCACUGGCUUCAAGAUUUCUUGUGGUACAAACAGGAGAAGUCUCAAGCCCCAUUGUAUGAAGGAAAUGCUGGGAACUCUUUGUUCAAUAUACUGCCAGCAUACAUAUGAACGCACAAAGGACCAGAUUCAUAGUUGCCUUAAGGGAAGCAUAAGCCCCCUAGCAAAGAUUCUCUUCUGUCCUGUGCAGAAGACUGCUAUGCCAGGACUGCAUCUCCUCAGUAGGAGCCCUCUGCUCAGAGGGCAUUCUGGAGAGAGAUAACUGUGGUCAACACAUUUUUACAGCUCAGCAAUCCUGUGCCCUGGCCAUGGGCCAUAUAGGUCACUGCAACUGGAGCACAAACUCAGCCAGCCUUUAGGGCUGCAAUCAUCUGUACACAAUUGUUUUCUGUGAAUAAUAAAGAAGGGCUGUCUUUUUUUUUUUUAACAUGGAUGUUUAACCUUAGAAAUAUCAGAGAUGUCAAUAUCUGGUCUUACCUUGUUUUGUUGGAGGACUUUUUGCGGGUUUCAGAGAUGCAUAUUGUUAGUUCUCAUGCCCUACUUAUAGUGGGAUUGGAAUCCUUGACAGACUUCCUUUCUCCAAAAUAUUAGUCAUUGGAGUUUAACAGGGGGUUAAUAAAAACAAAAACACACACAAUCCUCCUCCCCCCCACCCCACAAGGAGAAUUUUAAACAGUCUGACUCAAAAUCGCUUCCCCUCUCAAGAGCUCAACUUUCACCUCCUUGGCUUUUGUGAUGUCAUCACUUCACUAGUUCUUCAGUCGUCAUAAAGUCUUCCAGGACACAAGACCUGAUUUUUUUCCUAAUAUAAAUAUACAGGGGAGAAAAAGACCCUUAAGAAAAUAAAACUGAAAGCUUUCCAGACCUUCUCUAUACAUCAUUAUGAAUCAAGAAAGAACACAAGCCCGCCCGCCCCCCCUUUUUUUUUCUCACUUGUAACCAACCACCAGCAAGUAUCAGUUGAGGGGUAGAGUGGAUGUUUAACUGAAGUGAGAACAAAAUUGUACUGGAAACCUUGGGGAGAGUUUAAAAUGUUCACUAAAGACCAGGAUUGUCUGUUACAAGUAGAAUCCUCAGGUUUCACUGUAUUUAAUAUGAAGAAAAAUAAAACACUACCAGAGGGGGUUAAUUGAUUGGGGGAGAGGGGGGAAAUCUAUACUUGCUGAUCUAGGAAAAAGUAGAGGAUAAAAAAAUUGGAAAAUAGUGCUGUGUCAGCACAUACUAUAUUACAGACUGCAAAAUAAAGUGUAGUCUCCAAUUUCUCGACUCUCCAACGGAUCUUGGACCAAGGAAGGCACAGUACAUUUCAGAAAUAAUCAUAAUAUUUAUUAUGUUGCAUGGUAAGGAUGGGUGAACUUGUUUGAACUUUGAUCUCACACAAAUAUAACAUGUUUGACUCUAUUAAACAUUAGUCGAUGCAUAUUCCACUUAGGACAAGACUUAAAAAAAAGACUAGGGGUUGAAGUGAACCAGUGAGAGCAGUAUUGCCAACUCCAAACAUUUAAAAAAAAAAAAAGGGGGGGGGGGCAAAAUAAUGAGAUUAGCUUAAAAAUCAAGAGAUGUUUUAAAAUUAAUAUAUUUGGAUUUCUUUUUAUUUGCCUUCUGUUUUUUGAGUCUUUAGCGUGCAUUUGGGUCACAUUUUCAGACUUUUCUUCUAACACCAUGGGGAAAAGAAACUUACUUUUUAUGUAAAUGGAAGCUGAGUUUCUCACAUAAUCAGGCUUCUCAGAAAGGUGGGACUUUAGUAAAUCUUCACAUAUCACAAAACUUUCAUUAAAAUCACAAGAAUUGGCAACCAUUAGAAAAGCUGAAAAGGAACAAACUAGAGAAGAAGGAACAGAAUAUAUUUUUUAAAAAUAUUUUAAAAUAUACAAACACACCCACCUUUCUCCAAUCUAGCUUUUGGGGGAGAGGGAAGGGACUGAUUUUUUUAAAAUCACUGGUCACUUUUGAAAACAUAGGCCUUUAUAUUUCAUGAAAUUAGGUUGCUUUUGUUACCUAGUUAUCUUAGAGAGGAAAACAGUGAUAUAGUCAAUGAAGGAAGUCACCUAACUCAACUGGCUACUAGAAUUAAGAUUCACAAAACAUAAUUCAUCAUUGUGAUUUGGUUUUGAGGCCAAAUUGUGUUAUCAUGUACGCUGGUGUAAAUCUAGAUUAAUUCCACUGAAGCCACUAGAGUUACCCUGGAUUUACAUUAGGAUAAGGAAGUGCAGAAUUUGGCCUUUACCAGCUAUUCUUCAAAACAAAUCCCAGAAAAGAAAAGAGAGAGUAUUUCUAAAGCCCAAACAAGUUAGAGGAAAAAUGUAAUAGAGAAUGUUGCCUUAAGUGAAAAACCACAAUUUUAACUGCGUAUAGUAAAAGUGAAAAGAGCCUUAAAAACCAGUCAAAGCAAAAUGUUAAUUCUAAUUGUUCUAUUUAGUUGUCCUUGAUUUGUGACAGGUUUGUUAGUAUGCAGAUUUCCUACAUGCCACUUUCCAUGGGGGUGUUUACCAAGUGAAAUUAUGCAGACGAUUUCCCCUCGCAUCUCACGUCUUUAUUCCUAAUUAUGUUGGCCCUGUGUUCACUCAGCGUUAUGUUACAGUUGUCCCCAAGUGUUCUUGAUUUGGGACCAGUGACAAACUAAAUCAUCCGAUGAAGUGGGCUGUAGCUCACGAAAGCUUAUGCUCAAAUAAAUUUGUUAGUCUCUAAGGUGCCACAAGUCCUCCUUUUCUUUUUGCAAAACUAAAUCAUAUAGUUUAUGCAGAACAUUUAAAAAAAUCAUAAAAAGUAAAUCCUGAGAUGCUGAAAAACAGGGUUGUGCUUGCUUAUUCCUCCCAACAGAUGUUUACCUGUUUAUUGGCAUUGUUCUAUUAUAUUUCUUAAUCCCUUUUUGAUUUUCCUGUUCUGUAUUUAGGAUUUAGCUGUUCAAUAAUUUCACCUGGACUAUAUGUUUCCUAAUAAAAAUGUACCUGUAUAACUACUGGCAUGCUGCAGUCCAUGGGCUCAAACCAGAGAUUCAAACAGUGAUGGCUAGACUGGGCAUUAUUGUAUUCUAUGGUAUUUGUAUUGUACUUGGAUGUUCUGCCUGUGAAAGUGAAGAGCUGGUUUUCUGGUACUGGUACCAGCAGACCCUGCUGGCUAAUGCCUCAUAGUGGACUGAAGAGUACCUAGUGCUGAGUGUCCUGAGAAGCCACCAUGCCCAUAUCUGAAGUCCUGAGUGCUGGGACAGAUAGCCAAGCAGGCUAAGGAAUCGCUGUGGAUAGUGUGAUGGGAUAAGGGAACUCAAACCAGGUAGUCAGGAGGACAAGGACUCAUGGUGUGUAUCUAGGAUGCUAAGCUCAGACCUUCACCUGUGAUUGCAGUCACUGGACACUUGCCCAUGAAAAUUAAGGGAACAAAAAAGGAUCAGCCUGAUUGCCAUGGGGUCUGUUACCAGCAUCUGACCAGCACACACAGUAUUAAUCAGUUCUGCCCAAAGUUAGAGUGUGAUUAUUCCGAAAUGUGUGCCUCUACUAUUGUAUCAAUGGAUGAGGCUCUCUGGAUCUUAGUGAUGAUCUCUGUCCAUACAGGUUUGGAAUCCAGGAUAUAGUGAACAUUCACUGCAAUGUAUUGUUUAUUUGGGAACUCAGUCAUUCUGCAACUGAUCAUGCAUCUCUGCACUGGCGUUAGGCCAUGAGGACUCCAAUCCCAAGAUCACAUACCAUGGUAGCUGGCUCUUCAGUUUUACGCCUUAUCUGUUUUCCAUGACGCUAAUGCCAAUGUCAUUGGGAUAAUGGCCCUUAGAAAGUUAUCACCUGUCAGCUGGUUUUGUGUGUAUGUGGUAUACAGGUCCAUUGGGAAUCUAAAGGAGUGGACGAGGAGACCUCUGGGACCAAAACCUGCGUGUUUUUUUUAAUGACAAUGGUGGGAGGUGGGCGCGAAGGAAACAACCUGCAGGAAAUAACCAGGCACAGUGGCUACCUCCUUUCCUCUGGUUAUGGAAAGGGAGAAGGCACCACUGAGUGCCAGGAUGCAGACAAGGAGAGAAGCAGGUGGAUCUCAUUCUUAAUAAAAGGAGCUGCUGUGUUCCAAACAAAGGUGGUAGAGAGAUGCCGAGGAAAUGUUUACUUGGGUGAAUGGUUCAAAGCCCUGGUGCUUCUUUGCAGGGCAGGGGAGGAUUCAGAUUGGAGUCCAUUUGUAUUUGUUUUGUGUCUAGACUUGAGUCUGAGAAUUUAAAUAAAUAAAAUAUUCCUGGGGCGGGUGGCCCAGUGAACAGAGCACUAGAUUGGGAAUCCUAAAACCUGGGUUCUGUUUGCAGCUGUCACUGACCAGCUGUGUGACCCUGGGCAUAUCAUUUAACUUCUCUGUGCCUUUGUUUCCCCUUCAUCUGUGCUGUCAAUUUAGACUGUAAAUUUAUCAAGGCAUGGAAUGUCUUUUACUGUGCAAUUGUUCAGUGUGUAACAAAGUGAGCUCCUGACCUCAGUUGGGGUCUCUACAUGCUCUUGUAAUACAAAUAAUAAAAUAAUGAAAAAGGGAUCUUUUUAUUGUUGAACCCACCACCAAAAAAAAAAAUGGUGCAUUUCUCACAAUUUGUUGGCCCUCCCACAAGAAUUAUCUGGGGUUAUCUAGAUAAGAGUUAAAAAACCCAGCGAGAUGGAACUGAGGAGCAAGGGGACUGGUGGAAGAGAAGUUAGAUUGUUCGCUUAGUAUGGGUCUGACUGCAAUAUUCAAUGUAGGUCCCAUUGCUGAGAAUCUGAAUCCAACUGGUCUGUCUAUCUCAUGUGACUUGGAAAUCAUCCUUUAACCCAAUGCUGAUGUGCAGGGUUCCCAGAAUUACUUGUUUUAUUUUCAGCUAUGAGUGAGAAACAUUUGACUUCCUGAAUAGAGAGAGUAUUCAAGGGCUUUUCUUUUUCUUUAAAUUCAAGGGCUUGUCCCUUCUGUAACCAUCUACCUGAAAAGUCAGUGAACAUUUUAAUAAAUGUCACUGCACAUCCAUGUAUGAAUUUUUGGCCUCCACGUACUAUAUAAAGUGUUCUGAAGAAUAGCCCCUCUGCCUCACUUCAACAAGUGCUACACAAAUCUUCAAACAUAGACAUUGAAUGGCCGUAAGUAUUAGUCUGUAUCCACAAAAACAACAAGGAGUCCGGGGGCACCUUAAAGACUAACAGAUUUAUUUGGGCAUAAGCUUUCGUGGGUAAAAAUAACACUUCUUCAGAUGCAACUGAAUUGAAUAGUCUUGUUCAUUGCAACAUGAUGCUUUCUGAAUCUGCGGCUGGCUUUUUUCAAAGCCCCUGUUCUGAUAUAGCAAACCUAUAUAACAUGGUAAAGAGCUGGUUUAUUUGAAGUCUGCUAAAAAGAGAUGGUAAUUAAACUACCACAAACAUAAUGACACUGUGACAAUUAAUAGUCAAACAGAAUCAGCUGAGAAAGCAGAUCUGAUUCCAUGCUGACUGCAGCUUCCACCUAUUGCUGACCACAAUAACCUUUUUGGGAAAAGUCACUUCCAUCAGUCAGGCCAAUAUAGGGCACUGGCCGCAAGGCAGCAAAACAGUACUUGGAAUAAUUCUUUGCAGAUGCCAGGAACCGGAAGUUUCAGGAGGAAAAAUGAAAGCCAUUCACUCUUCCAAUGACACAGGCCUUUGAUACCACAAAGUCAUUUGGGCAGAGAGCUCCAAGGUCAGGAAGGCACGUAAAGAUUGGUGAUUAGAGAAAUACUAUAUCAGCAAAGUGUGGCAAGCUAUUAAAAGAAACUGUAGCUUUUAUGAUUGUGUUGCUGAAGCUUCCCCAGGGCUAUUUGCAUUAGAUAUUGAGUUAAGCAUAACUUAUUUAGUCCCAGCAUUCCAGAAAACAUUUUGAUGUCAGCUACUGCAGGAAAGUAAACACGAGGCGAAGGAGGAAACAGUACUGAUCCCAAACAGAUAAAAUAUUGUAAUUUAAUUUUAUGAACCCAUGCAUUUCAGAGCAUUAAGAAUGAGGAAUUUUUAAAAGGCUCUUUUAACUUUUUUUUUUUAAAAAAGGGUGGUGGAAUGAGGGAAAGCUUUUAGUCAUUUUGUUGGGAGGGGGAGGGGAAAGGGAGAAGAGAGAAACCAAGUCAUGAUUUAUCAUCAAAUGUACACUAGUAUCUGCCAAUACAUUAAUGCAUUUACUCUUAUGAAGGAUUUUAUGCAUAGCUAUAGCUCUCUUCUAAUUUUAUAUACUUGCAUACAAUAGUAUUUUUUCAUUUCUUUGUCCAGUGGCUCUUCUGCAUGUCUGCUGAUGGGGACUUAUAACAAGUAAAAAGGACCUCGAAAAUGGAAUUGCAGUUUGGUGGAGCAUGUCUGAGGAAGGAGAUCCUUCUUUUUGGAUUGUGCUGGCAAACACUGAUUGAACGCUGUUCACGGUACUUGGAGAAUAAGAAGUAGUCCCUUACAAGGUUGUGCACAAAAUCUGGUUGCAUUCAACGCACAGUGUAGGGGUUCUAUCUCCAUCCCAUCUGCUUCAUGCUGAUACUCCCAGCUGUGCCACUCUUGCUGCCAGCGUGUUUUCUGCUGUUGGUGCCACUGCAAAUCCUCAACUGGUGAUAUUAAAAUUCUGGAUUGUUAGUCACUAAAUUGAGAUUAACUGCUAUAGCCAAAAGAUUGAACUCUCAGGAAAGGUGGUUAUCCCACAGAUUACCAGCUCCUAUACUGGACCAGAGUUGGUUUGUUUUAAAGAGGAAGCCAAUAAAGCAAACAAGGAAUUUUGUAUAUGGAUUAUCUCUUGAAUCACUGUUCUAGGAUAUCACAGCAGGGAUACAAGGGAAUCACAGACUUCAAUGAAUGGUCAGAUUUUCCUUGGAUUGACCACAAUAACUGUGUACACAAGGGGGGGAAAGCUGGAACCCCAAAAGCCAUACAUACCUUAUGGUGAAGAAUACUCUCUCUCUAAUACAUUGGAGACACUGUCCAAGAGCAGUUUUUUUUUUUUUUUAACAUAAAGACUGACCUUGCAGUGUUGACAAAGCUUUGCUUACUGGCUAUAGAAUUGUUAUGGCCACAAGUUAAAGGAUCCUGGAAGUAGCUUGUUCACCUCACUUUUGUGUAAGAUUUUUGGUACCUUUGUGUUCAUUCACUGGUGUUGCCUGCUCACGGGUGCCUCCCUUCUCUGCCUGUCUGUAAAUUUACACACCCUCCCCAGCUUCAUCACUGUAAGCAGAAGUACAGGGUGCAGAAUAUUAGUUUUGCUUUGAUGGCCAAUUAGAGUCUGAUCUUGAGAGAUGCUGAGCUCCUUCAUUCUCAUUCACCUCAAUGGAAGAUGAGCUAUUUCAGUACUUUGUAUGGAGUGCUCAGUACCUGGCAUGAUCAGUACAGUGCUUUGGGGGAAAUUGUUGUAUUGUAACAGUGAUCUCUUUUGGAUCACUACAAUCCUCAUUCAGGGCUGGAAAAGAAUCCUCUCAGAAGAGGACAUGUACUUUGCUGGGGGUGGUUGUUUGGGAGAUGUUUUAUUUUUUUGCUGUAUAGUGUGUCCUAACUACUUAUGUAAUUCCUCUCCAGUGAAAAUAUGAUUAUAUUAGGAAUAUCCUGACUAUGCAGGCAACAUCUCCGUGAUUAGUUCUUCCAGACAGAGGGUUGUAUUCCACUUAGAAAUGCAAAUGCUUUGACUCCUGGUUAUCAAUAUCUCCAUGCAAGAUUUAGUCAGCAUAUUAAUUCCUACUACGCCCACUGCCUGGAAAGAUACUGAUUAAUAAAAGGGCACUAAUGAGAAAUGUUUUCAAACUAUUUUAUCCAAAUUUAGAUAUUGUAGCUAGAGUAGAACCUCAGUAUUACUCCUUGGGAAUGGAGAUUGUUCAUAACUCUGAACAAAAUUUUAUGGUUGUUCUUUCAAAAGUUUACAACUGAACAUUGACUUAAUACAGCUUUGAAACUUUACCAUGCAGAAGAAAAAUGCUUCUUUUAACCAUGUUAAUUUAAAAGAAACAAGCACAAAAACACAUUCCUUACCUUGCCAAAUCUUUUU